Molecule: ribosomal RNA, 464 nt
Filed under: uncultured bacterium
Lineage: Bacteria
Description: bacterial SSU rRNA
Rfam family: Bacterial small subunit ribosomal RNA
Source: RNAcentral
CCAGACUCCUACGGGAGGCAGCAGUGAGGAAUAUUGGUCAAUGGGCGGGAGCCUGAACCAGCCAAGUCGCGUGAGGGAUAACGGCCCUAUGGGUUGUAAACCUCUUUUGUCAGGGAGCAAAGGGCGCCACGUGUGGCGUUUUGCGAGUACCUGAAGAAAAAGCAUCGGCUAACUCCGUGCCAGCAGCCGCGGUAAUACGGAGGAUGCGAGCGUUAUCCGGAUUUAUUGGGUUUAAAGGGUGCGCAGGCGGAAUGUCAAGUCAGCGGUAAAAUUUCGGGGCUCAACCCCGUCGUGCCGUUGAAACUGGCGUUCUUGAGUGAGCGAGAAGUAUGCGGAAUGCGUGGUGUAGCGGUGAAAUGCAUAGACAUCACGCAGAACUCCGAUUGCGAAGGCAGCAUACCGGCGCUCAACUGACGCUCAUGCACGAAAGCGUGGGUAUCGAACAGGAUUAGAUACCCCCGUAC